CUGAGGACGCUGAAUUUAAGUGACCAGCGGAUCUUUGAGCUUCUGAGGGUGAUAGAGGAGGUGACGGGUCUAGGAGCCAGGAUAAGGAAAGGGGAGAUCAAGCUUCUAGACUUCGUGUUUGAUGUCAUGCUCCCAGAGAUCCUGAUCAGCAUCCUGGACGAUGAAGGACUGACCCAGCUACAAACUGGGUUCAUGAUGGCCAGUGGCAGACUUCUGUAGGUGUAAACCUCCAUUUUUUUAU
Molecule: long non-coding RNA, 241 nt
Organism: Melanotaenia boesemani (Boeseman's rainbowfish)
Lineage: Eukaryota; Metazoa; Chordata; Actinopteri; Atheriniformes; Melanotaeniidae
Exons: 3
Source: RefSeq, a predicted model, not a curated record